GUGGCUGGAUCACCUCCUUUCUAAGGAUGAUCAAGAAUUGGAAGCCUUCAUAAAAUGAAUACCUUCCUUUUUGAUCUCAUUAGACAUAAAGGUUUAAACCAAGUCAGUUUAAGCCUUAUACAUAUGAUACUAACAUACAUAUAAUACUAACUCUUAGUGAACCCUCGCAUAAAAGAGAAACCUCUUUGAAAAAAAGAGACCCCCCUUCUCUUGAGGUUCCUACCUCACAGUGAGAGUGUUCCGUGGGAAGUUCAUGUUUAUAUGUUAAGUUAUACUUUAUAUGUUAAGUUAUACAAGCAGACUAGCCGUCUUCGUUUCUCUUUCUUCAGAUGAUGAUCCCAAGCCUUCUGGCAAUCCGCGAUAAGUUCUUUGUAGAACUUUAAGAAAAGCAUUUUCCAUUAAAAGAAUGCUUUCAUGUGAUAAUGCCGGGGAAGGUUUUCCGGUUUAUCCCGGAGGGCUUGUAGCUCAGUUGGUUAGAGCGCGCGCUUGAUAAGCGUGAGGUCGGAGGUUCAAGUCCUCCCAGGCCCACCAAUUAUCCAUCCAUAGAAAAGCGCUUAGAAAGUUUGACUGUUAACAGGUCAACGUUGUUUUGUAGGACGCCAAUAUUGUCUUGAAAAAGAGCUUUCUUGUAAAGUUUGAGAAAACUUGUUUAUCGCUUUUUGUAAGAUGUGGUGUUUGUCUGCUUUUAAAGCGAUCGAAACUGAAAGUGUUUCAAAGAUAAGAGUCUUGGAACAGAAGAGUCUUGGAAUAGAAAAGAAUAUAAAGUCUAGGUGGUAUUACAUAGUCUAGAGUUAAAUUGUUCAUGAUUGGAACAUUUCAUAUUGAAAUGCUGCGAUAUAAAGGUUUCGAAUAAAUUAUUCCGUUUUGGGGCCGUAGCUCAGCUGGGAGAGCACCUGCUUUGCAAGCAGGGGGUCGUCGGUUCGAUCCCGUCCGGCUCCACCAUCUGGUCAUCAUCAUUGUUGUGAGAACAGGUUUUAGUGAAAGGUUGAGUAACCUUUCGCUUGUCUAUGAAAUUGUGAAGAGAAGAUAUAUUCAGACAUGUUCUUUUUGAACUGUUUGUUUUGAAGGCAGAGCUUUUUUCAUGGGAAAUAAUUAUGAGGAAUGCUUGUUAAAAAAUGCUUUCAGAAAAUGAUCUGGAAAGCAGAUCUAAAAAACAAAUGGGUCUUUUGUUUGUUUUGAAAUUGUCGAGGAAGCUGUUUUUAUAAAAUAGUUGUUCAAAAAUGUCAAAAAGCCAUGCAACGAGGAGACUGUGUAAGCCAAAAGCACCAAAAGCAAAAUCAGCAGGAAACAAGUUGUGUCGCAUGAGACGUAGCCAAAAGAGGCAAAAGAGCAAAAACAAAAGAGACAAAAAGACAUUGUGUCGCAAGGGAACGCUCAAAGCCCUUGCUUAUGAUUGGAAGCUUAACCGCGCCAUUGAAUAUAUCUCGAGAAGCUGGUCUUUUCUGCUGAUAUUUAUGUUUAUUUGCACUUUGUUUGUUUUGCACAAGGCAGAUAGAGAAGAUAAACGUUGAAUGAAUAUUGGCAAUGAGAACGA
This 1534-nucleotide transfer RNA is filed under the name Bartonella sp. RT222SM. RNAcentral describes it as "16S-23S rRNA intergenic spacer". The stretch from base 455 to 528 matches the Rfam family "tRNA". The record is from RNAcentral. Lineage: Bacteria; Pseudomonadati; Pseudomonadota; Alphaproteobacteria; Hyphomicrobiales; Bartonellaceae.